UAAAAUAGUAUUCGUCUUUAUCCUUAUACUUUAUAAUACUAAUAUAUUGCAAUAUUGUCUAAUAUUACUCUAUGGCCCAAUGGCAUUUCUAUCGAUCCAUAACUGAGGCCCUUCUUCUAGCCUGCCACAUCCACCCAACCUUAUCCUGUUGCUGUAAAAAAAUCUUUCUGUCUGCUGCCCCGUUCUUAUCUCCUUCCCACAUCUACUCACCCUCAUCCGCUCACCCUCGUCUGCUCUCUACCUGCAUUGUACCCGCGGUCGCCUGGAUCCCCCGCAAGCAGAGGAGCUCCCAGCCAGCCAACUUGCAGAUCCGUUAAUCCGUUCUGAUGCUCACCAAGGGCAACAAGAUCCUCCACCUAGGACAAAUCUAAUUACCAAGGUAUAUCCUUAUAUUUUAGCUCCAGCCAUACUCCUGCUUUACAAUACACUGUCCAUAUAAAUGCUUUCUUAUUUUUUUCUUAUCCACAUAAAAUCGGUUGGAGGAAGGGUCUGAUAGGUUUCAUUUCCUAUCCCGAUACAUGCUUGGCUCUCCCGAUGUCCUCAUGAUAUUAAAAUUUCGUUUUCCCAUAGGUUCAGUACAAAGUUCUUUAAUUGUUAGUGCAUAUAUAUAAUCUAAAGCUCAGUGCUUAUUGUUCUUAAUGGAUGCUGUGUUUAUACCUUCUGCCAACCCUUUGGGUUUAUCUUGUGGAUCUAUUCUCAUGGAGUUGGUUGAGCUAUCCAGCACAUCACUGGCUGAAGCAAUGUUCGAGAAACUCGGUCUCCCUAAACCAGUGUACUUUGUGCAUCAUCUUUCACAAAAUCGAUUUAGAACAGAGAUUCAAUUUCAUCGCACAAAAGCACGGUACCAUGCUUCAGCGUGCCGGACUAAAUUAUCAAGCCGUAUAUGUCAGAAUGUGGUAGCAUCAAUGAAUCAUGCAGCCGAGAAGGCCAUCGAAUACAUGCAGAACAAAUAGGGUAAGGUGCUUGUGGACUAUAACUAUUAUCAACUAGAGCAAAUGAAAAUGGCACAUACAAGAUUAUCAGCCAGGUUGCUAGAACAGUCAGAUGAAAUCAACCAGCACAGCAAAACCAUCAAGCAGAUAACUAAAGAAGCAUGCAACUAUGUGAAGCAAGUGCACAAUGCAUCAAACAGAAUCCAAGACCUUGCUGCCGUUUUCUUAGACCCUGCUACCUCAAUGUGUGUUUCUAAUAUGAAGCAAGCUAUCAUGGAGAUUCACAGUUCAAUUGUCGCGCUUCAAAGCUCUACAACUACGACAUCUCAGUUCCUAGAGGAAAAAGGCAUGUACUCAGAUGAUGAAGUGCCUGAAUGGAGCUACAGUGGCCACUCAGAUGAAGAUUCAGCGGAUGAUAUUCAUCAACACAUAGAUGAUGACUAUGUCCCAUCCCCAUGAGCGUCAUAUUGAGCCUGCUGAACUGUCUCGUUGCCAUGUGAAGCUGUAUAUGUAUGGCUUCACCGCUAGGAAGCGGCUCUGUGUUUGUUGUGUUUAGUCUCCUAGGUUGCUUAAAUAAGAUGCGAAGCUGUCUACUCAUAGCUUCGGCCUAGAAAUCUUUAUCCUUUUUGAACUUCAAUCUGGACAUGUAUAAGUAUAAAGUCUAUGUCCUCGUGUUAAGACAGUGUUAUUUAUCUAUGCUACGCCUUUGGUUU
Long non-coding RNA from Triticum aestivum (bread wheat), 1645 nucleotides. RefSeq lists it as uncharacterized. Lineage: Eukaryota; Viridiplantae; Streptophyta; Magnoliopsida; Poales; Poaceae. The record is from RefSeq and is a predicted model, not a curated record. The transcript has 2 exons.